RNAcentral lists this unclassified non-coding RNA (8955 nucleotides) under Leishmania donovani. Its description in RNAcentral is "gene:LdHU3.35.5770(CDS-product:hypothetical_prote in_conserved)". Lineage: Eukaryota; Euglenozoa; Kinetoplastea; Trypanosomatida; Trypanosomatidae. The record is from RNAcentral.
CUGUCAAGCGCCCUACUCCACCAUCCAGCACUUGCAUUCCGCAGAGUCACUCAAGAACUGUUUCUCAUUUGUUUUUCGAUCUACCUCUUUAAAAAGUCUGUGCCAUUCUGUGAGUGAGUUUGUGUGUGUGUGUGUGUGCCCGUUGGCGUUUGUUGUGUUGAUUCUUCCUUUCUUUUUUUUUUUCGCUCCCGCACGCACUUUGUUCGUUCUCUUUUUUUUGUGCUUUUGCUUGCUGUCGUGGCGUGCUUCCGCUGCCUCACCCGCCCACCCCCCUCUCCCUCCCUCCCCCUUUCGACGCGAGCUCCUUUUCCUGGCGUGCUCUUGUUGUUCAAGGGGGUCGCGUUCUUGUGAAGAAAGGAGGCGGCGGCAGAACAGCCGUCUCGGCUUCGCUGCCUCCAUCACUCGCUCUUCGGCGCUUGGUUGUAGUCUCUGCCUUCAGCACCCCCUACCCCGUGCCAAAAAUCACACGUAAACACAUACGCCUCCCCCUCCGCUCCUCACGCGGGUACCCAUUUACGGCUCGUGAAACGUACACGUGGUCAGCGCCUCGUGCAAGCCUCUGUGCCUGCGCUUACGUGUAUCUGUUUGGCGAGGGCGAUCGAUACGAACGAAAAAAAAAACUAGAAGAGAAUAGGGAAUCUAGUUUCCCCUGCCUCGCCGAGGCGAUUGUCUGUUUAGUUUCAUUGAUUUCAUAUCUUCCCUUCUGAUCGCGUGAUCGGCAACCUCAGCCUCUUAUCCCCCUCCCUCUUACUGUUCUCUCUGUUUUGCUGUUCUCAUUUUCUUUUAUUUUUGCUUUCUUUUGGCACACUCCAACAAUCGCGGCACAACGGUCGCCUUUCUUCUGCGUUCUCUCUCUCUCCGUGAGUGCUUGCAGAACGCACGCCACUGAAACAAGGGAGCCGCAAGAACGAGUGUUUUCUGCAUCAGUGGCGCUUUUCAGCACAUAUCAAGAAGACGAGGUGUGGCGAGACCGCGUGGUUCAUUCUGGCACAUACGCAGAGAAGAGGUCUGGGUUUCACGUGAUAUUCGACUGUAAAGAGCGAAAAAAAAACGCACGAUCCAAAAAGCGCCACCGUACGCGAACACUGCCAGGCAGUGCGUGGCCUCGAUCGUUAACACAUAGGCACGAACAUUCCUUUAUUUUUUGUCCUGUUGUUCUUCCUUUGGUCUGUUUAUGAUCUGUCGCCGGUGCUGAUUCGCUUCUCUUUAGGUUCUCUACUUUUUCUUCUUUUCCGACUUUGCUUUGCCAACGCCUCACCCGUAACUCUCGUACCACCGAACACGUGCGCGAACGCGCGCAAGAAUAUCGGCUCUCGCACGACGGCAAAAAUAAACAUAUACCCCCAAAACGGCACACAAGCAUACAUUCCUCUCCUUUUCACCUCUCCCCCUCUCCUCCUGCAGCUAUAUUCAAACACAGAGCUGAGUAAACUCACUUGCCGGACAUUUCAGAGACGCCGCUUUCCGUUCUCCCUCUUUUGAGCUCGCCAGUGCUUGUGCAUUUGUGUGCCAUACCUUUGCGUUUUUCUGUCGCUUCCGUUUGUUUUCUUUUUGUUCCGUGUGUGUGUCUCCCGGAUUUUAUUUUUCUUGUCUUUUUUCUUCGUGUUCGUUUUCCUCUUCUUCCUCUCCCUUCCCCCACCACAGGCGUUUUCGUCGUUCAAAACCUUUGACUACUAGGUCGUCACUCAAGCUCAUCUCGGCAGUCGAGCGGCCAAAGCCAGCGACCUUCCUCCACACCGCCACCAACGCCCGUCUACCUCUCUACACCUCUCCCCGUUCAACCACGAUACGAGGUGCUUCUCUUACUGGUUUCCCCCUCGCGGUUCUUUGUUGCUUCAUUCUCUACACAUGUGUCUGUGUGUUCAUCUUUUUUUUUAUUUUUGAUCUGUCCAACCUUUCUUUUUUUUGUCGUGCGCGCGUUUUGUGCUCUCUCUACAUGGUAUACGAGCACGGUGGCGAGUCUUUUGUGCAUGCCUGCGUUUAUUUCUUUUCGUCAUUCCUUCUCUGACUCUCUUCUUUGUGUCUCGGUCGUAAAGACUUGAGCCGCUCGAUCCAUUUGAGCUGGUGCGCGGUGUUGAGGUACUUUGAGGUAACGUGUACAGCGGGGCGAUCGUUCCUUGUUUUAUAUAAUUAUUUUUUUUCGCUCUUUUUGGCUGUGCCGACCCCCAAUUUCCCUGUCAUCUGCGCUCGACUGCGUGCCGUGGACGUCCUUUGCAAGCAGCUGCGUCUGUCAUCUCGCAUCUCCCGCGCCCUCCCUCCCUCCCGCUCGUCCUUUCCGAUUCCUCACGACGGCGGCGCACGCAGCUACGUCGUGUGUGCGUUGGCGCCCGUGCGAAACCGGCGUGAAGGGAAGUCGGCAGGAAACGAAAGCGGCAGCGCGUGACAAGAUACAUAGAAGGGCAUUAUACUUACACAGCCCCUCACCCCUACGUACCCCUACGCAUAGGCACACACGCACACGCCACUGCCUCCGAGGAAAAACAUCAACCGCAGUAAAACGUGGAAAAAAAGAAAAGCAGAGCAUUACGUCUCUUUUAUUUUUUUUCUUUUCUGCUCUGUAUUUCUCUCCUUUUGUUGUUUCGUAAGCUUUUUUUCUUUUGUUUACUUUCUGUACUUUCUCGCUCGUGCUUGGUGGUCGUCUUCCCUUCCCCUUCUCCCCUCUCCUUUCCACGAGCCAACCAAUCCGCGCAAACACACAUAUAUAUAUUUAACUACCUUGCGAAGUACUUCUCCGCGCUCCUGUGUGUCAAGCUUCUGCGCAUGCGCCUCGGAAUUCCAAUCGGAGGAGCAUCGCUUACCUCACGCCUCAGCACCCUCGGAGCUCUUCUUAAUUUGAUCCUUUGCUGUUUUUGUUGUUGUUUUUUCGUUUUUUUUUUGCUUUGUUCGUUUCUUGAUUCAUUCCUUCUUUCCUCUUUUGGUACGACUCACCGCAGCGGCGCAGGGGCCCUCUUCAACCUUUUUACGCACAUUCGCAAGCGCAACAAUUCGAGUGCCGCUUGUUCAGAGAUGGAGGGCAAUCAGUCGGCCUUGACACCGACUCGAUCCAUCUUUCAACUACUGAACUAUCACAAUGGCCUCGAAGAACUGCUCUUGAUGUACUGGUGGGUGAUUGUACUCGGCAACCUCGUGCUCUUUGCGUUCGCGAAGCACUCGCUCAUGUGCUGGGAGCUGCAUCGGGACAGGCGACGCUUGGAAUGCUGCUACAUGCGUCACUGUCAACGUCGUCGUGCGGCGCGCCAGUUGAAGAGUGCGACAGCAGGCCUUUCACAUAGAACGGACGCUGAGGAAGCUGCAAGCACCACAAGCAACGCGCCAACAGAGACCUCGUCGUCAAGCAAGGACCCGGCCGAGGCAGGAACAGCGGCAAAGUACGCCGUCGACUAUGUCAGCAAGCGCGAAAAGAAGAAAAUGUGGUUUCCUUUGCUGGUGCCGGCCGUGCCAAAGCUGAACAAAUGUGUCUCGCCACCGAAGACAGCGGAGCUGACAGCAAAGGCCGCGCUAUGCCGAAAUCGAACCGAGCAACAGGAAACGACAGCGAGCGUGCAUGAGAAUGAUACCCGGCCGGCGUCGCUGCUGCUCCCACUCCCCUCCGCGACCUCUUCUGACCUCUCCUCGCCGUCACCGCUCUCGACAGCGCAGGCGAGCACUUCGGCAACGACGCGGCUGCUGAACCGGCUGGGCUUCAUGUCGCCUGAUCUUAGCCAAGCCAACGACGAAAAAUUCGAUGCCAGCCGAUACAGCAACAGCAGCAAUGCGUCCUCGCGGUUGAGCAACUGCUGCCCCCGCUACAGCGAGGACGAACAGCGCUUAAUUGAUAAGAAGCGGCAGGAAAAUGUACGUGCGUGGAUGGAGGCUAAGCGCGCCUUGGAGCUAACCGAGUCGCUCGCAGCAGGUUCCCGUGGGGUCAUACCGCUAUCGUCGGUCAAUGCGCGCGAGUUUCAGCCGUGUGAAAAAGGUGCGAUAGAGACGGAGCUCGUUUCAUGAGAUGCGAGCCCCCCCCCAUAGUGCGCACGGAUGCUUUCAUACUUAAUUCGUUUCGUCUCAGCUCCCUCCCCCCCCCCAGACGAUGCCGGCCAUCUCACCAUGGUAUCUCAGCCUCCAGAACACCCACUCUGUGUGGGGAAGCCUAGAACCUGCACAGCCUGCCCUCGGGUACGGCUGGCGGACUCUUGGCGUCGGCGGACAGGCUUGUGCUCGUUCUGUGCCGAAGAAACACGUGGCCACGAACACGAUUGGGCCAGCCCACGGCGAGCCGAAUGGGCGCUUCAACAUACAUGCGCAUCCCCCUACAACUUUGCCAUUGCUGCGUUGUGGUGAUGUUGAGCGGGAUUCCGGACCUAGCCGGCGCUGUAUGCAGUUGCAUUGCAGUUUUCUGGGCAUCGCCAGACGGUGUUGGUCGGCCCGCUUCCUUGACAAAUCCUCGAUACAAGUUUUGUAUUCCGCAAGAGAGGCAUGUCACGUCAGCAAACCUGCUAGGUACUUUAUUCGCAUGGCUUUUCAGCACUCGGGUACAGCAAGAGAGAAGCACCGCGCUGGGGUCUCCGUGCUCACAGAAGAGUACAUGCGCGUAGGUUCGGGCCCUAACCCUCUUAACGACAAGGGCGCAGCAGCGGCGUUGCGUCUGUGCUGCCACGUCCCUGCUGGACGCAUACACACCACCUCGGGCUGCACGCCUAACAGUCACCUCGCGGCACGGGAGGCCCUCCAUCACACACCAGGCAGCGUCGCACGAAGCCCACACUCCACGGGGCGGGGGCCGGCUCGGGCCGCCCGGUGCCCGACACGAGAUGACGAUCCAGCCGGCCAGGAAGGGGACCACCUCACACGAUUGACCCAAUGACGAACACCUGACGUGUGCAAGCCAUAGCGACACCACCGCACGGCACAGCGCCGACGCCACCACGCAGACGUUACCACAGCAUCGCGCGGCCAUCUGGAAGACAAUCUCCAGCCUCGGCAGUUGCGGACUUCCGCCGUUACCGCACGACUAUAGACCUAAUGGACUUGCCCCCCCCCCCCAAAGUAGACCAGCUUAGAGCCGUACCGCGCUCGCUGCAUCAUGGCUUUCCCGGACCAUCGCCCCACCCUCUGUGUUCGCGCCGCCCACAAGAACAAGUCCAAGAUGGCAAGGCGUGCAUGCCCAGUCGCACAACCAUCCCUCCUGGGCCCUCUUCACCUCAUGAUGGUAGUGGACCCCCCGAGUGUGGAGCGCAACCGGACGCCGGCACGGCCCCACGCCAUCUGUGCUCACCACACCACACUCCUCACAUCCUCCGCGGGCAAGGAUGUGAUGCAGGCCACACUACGAUUCGUCUCCUGCAAGGUGGCGCGCUGGACACUGAAGCACGCCAGACAGCUGGAUGAGCGUCCCCCAACACAAGGCGCACACGCGCCGGUGCGCGGCAUCGCAACCAGCCAGAGCUCUCCGGCUCACGCCAUGGCCUUGCACGCAGGGACCUGGUUACGCACGUCUCACACGCGCUGCACGGUCUCCCUCCCGUCGGGUGUCUGUGGCUGCCCCUCACACCCUCUGUGCCUCCUCAGGAGGACAAGCGAUGGUCUCUUUGUGCGCAGGCACAUGUCUAUGCAUGGACCCCUUCCGCUCCGCACGCCCAGUCCUGCGAAAGACGUGCGGGUUUGAGAGGAAGGUGAAAUGCCCCCUGCUGCCAGAGACUCAUGGCAGCGUCCCACCUGCCGCGGCGCACAUGCGGGCAGGCUGCCCAGGCACCCACCCCUCCGUGGCAUCGGCGGGAAUGGAAGAUGCAGCCAGCCAGCCCCUCCCUCCUCUCCCCGCCCUCAGGCAACAACGCCGCUCUGAGGCAGACCCCAGGAUGCCGAAAGGCGAGCACUGUGCGCACCCGCUGCGAACCGUUGCUGGCAUGAUGUAUGACAUGGCCGCAAAGGUGCCCAGAGGUGAGAAGCGCAAGAAUAACAGCCGCAAAGGGCGCGAAGGGGUCCCAUGCCAAUGCGCCCCACAGUGCGUGUGUGCGAACUAUGCUGCAUCUCCUACGGCCGACCGAGUGGGCUGAUGAGGCGCAGAUCUCGGAUGCGUGAGAGGAGCGCCUUGAACUGCACCAUCCAGUCCUCCGGACCACAGUGCGGAAUGCCGCGGCUUGAAGCGGCUGAGGGUGACGCACGGCAUACAAGGAGGGUACAGGAUGUCAGAGGGCUUCUGAGCUGCGGUUGGCCAACUUACUUCGUGGGCUCAUCCUACAUGCACCUGACCCCACCUCCUCUUGCUCACACGACGGACGCCAUCGCCUCCGCCUUCGAGCCAGGCCCUGGACGCGGCCCUCCUGCAUCAAGGCGUGCGACUCACCCGAGCCCGUGUGGCGCCAGCCGAGCAGCGCGUAUGCGAAGGAGGGACACGAGGAGGCCGUUAGACGCAUGGCCUGACUCGAGGGCAGCAGUCCCCUCCCCCCCUCCCCCUCCGAGGGGGGGGGGCAGAAAUUCAGCCGUAGUGCUAGAGAGGCUCGGUGAGCUGUGAUUGUGUGUGUGUUCGUGUGUAUUAUUGCGGACCUGUUCGUGCCAGAAUGGCCUGCUGAGAAGAAAUGAAUUCUUGCUUGUGGUGUGUCUGUAUAGGCGUUUUCGCCAUUGCGCAGGUGCGUAUAUCUUUAGUUGCCCGUUUCGGUUGGGGGUAUUCGGUGGAGUAGCAUUGAGACAUAGUUACAAAGAAAUGAGCAUAGUGAUCCACGAUAGCGUUGUAUUUUCUCCACGCAUGGUGAAGCGACAGAUCUGUAUAUCCGUUGCGGUGCGGUUCUGCUGCCUUGCUCGAUUUGUGGUUGAGGUCGUAGAAGGCGAGGGACGAAAAACGAAGGACGGUCGUAUGCAAAGAAACGAGUUCGUCUACUUGUUCUCGGCGUGUGUGUUGUUCCGGUUUGUUGGUGUGCAGCUGUUCUGAGAAAAGUGGGCGUGCGACUCGGCACAUCUGCGUCUUGGUAAAGCGCCCUGAAUGUGCGACGCGGCCCACGGCUGGUUCAAACCUUUCGUUUGACUUUUACUGUGUGUGUGGGGGGGGCUCUGUGUUUUGGUAUCGCCACGUGGCGUGUCCCCCGGUGCUCGUCGCUUUCGACUGUGUCGUCAAGAAACAGCUACACGGAGAACAGAGCUGAAGCCGUAAGGUGGUGACAGACGGAUGCUUUCGUGUGUGUGUGUGUGUGGCUAUCUUGAUCCAGUUCGCAAUCGUUUUCUUUGCGGGCAUAUGUGCCGCUCGUAAAUGGAUUUAAUCCGAAUAUCUGCCGGGUAUCGGCACUCAUGCUCGUUGCUGCAGGUGGUGGUUGUUUGCCUCGACUUCUUCCCCUCGUCUUUCCGUACACUUUCUCAUGCCGCUCAUUUUUGUGUACUUGUUUUUCCAGUUUUGUUUCUGCGUUUGUGUGUGCCAUGCGCACAAACGCUAGUCCCCCCCUCGUUCGUUCCCUCCUCGUUUCUUCCUAUCAUAGCCUAUAGGAGUAUCAUAAUGUGGGUACGGUGCUACAAAUUAGACGGCAUGAGCCGCCUUUCUUUAUCUCUGUUUUCUUUUUGGCUUCUUGCUUUCUCUUCGGGUUUCGGAUCAGCUUCACAAGUCUUGAGGGCAUCAGAGAAGCAACACAAAGAUGUCUCUGUGCGUGUGUGCUUGCACGUGUCUCGAUACCGAGAAUGCGCGGGACUUGUUCAACGGCGACAAACUAUUCUCGUUUGUCUUUAUCCAGCGGUCUCUUUCAUGUUGUUUUUCCGUUCACUGUUUCGGAGAGGCACUCACCCCCUCCCCUACGACGAAGGUGAAGUCUGCACAAACGCGCACGAAAGCAAACGUGUGGCACUCUCUCAGCGCUCCUCCACCACGGACACCCCCCUACCUGUUGUCAUUCCGCAGCUGUGUGGGUGCAGCCAACGGGCUAUUGUAUCUGUGCUUCUUUUUUUAUGUUGUUGGCUUGCUUUGCUUUCUGUACUUCUUUUUUUUUUCGUCGUUUUUUUUAUGAUUGUGCGCAAGAAGUCGCUUGCACUUCUCGUGUCUUUUCGGUUGAUGUCAUGUCGUCUUGGUUUGCCUUUGCUUUUUGUUUGUGGUUUGUGUGGGCACAAGUUCUUUUUCCCUCUCCUGCCUAUUUUUUGUUUUCUUCGGCGCGCUUGCAUGCUCUAGUACGCAGGUGCGUAUGUUCGAAUUUUUUAUGUCGUGGCCUCGUAUUCCUCGUCUGUGCCCGCAUUCCUUCCCUCGUUAUCCCCCCUUCUCCCCCGGUAUGUCUUUCGUGCUGCAGUUACGACACACAUUCUCGCCUGUAUCUCCGCUUCGCCUCUUUCGAGGUCUCCUUCUCUACAUUCGCACGUUGAUGCCCUUCCUUCGCAAGUGGUCGUCUCGUUCAAGUGUGGGUGUGCGCGCGAACGUCGAUUUCUCGUUUUGGUAGGAUCUCCAUUUUUCUUCACGUUUGUUAGCGUAGUGUCGUCGAUCCUCUCAAUUCAAGGCGCUUGCUUCUUUUCCGUUUCCCUUUUUUUUUGCUGUUAGACUAGUGGAGGCUCUGCACUGUGCGCAUGACUGCUCCAGUGCUUUUUUUUUUCGUGGCCGUUUGCCCUUUCUUUUUUUUUUUCAUUUAAGCGUUCGUGACGGGGUUGCUGUUUCUGUGCUUCUGCUCCGCGACGUGCGUCGAGUGGGAGAGAGUAACGAGUAUAGGUGAAGAGUUGGCGCAUCGGUGGGCGUAUUCUCGCCAUCUUUUUUUUCGACUUAGCUUUUUUUUGUUUUCGCUUUCUGCCUUACAAGCCGCAUGAUCACAAGAACCUCCGCUCUGCUCCUGGACACCUUGCCCUCUUCCUCAUGGCUCAUUUCUCUCAUAUCUAUGCGCACGUGCGUCUGUGCAUGUCUCGCGAACGACCCGAGUAGUGGCCUUGUGUGUCUCUCUCUUUGCUUAUUUUUCCUUCAUACGUAUUCGAUGCUCAUGAGCCGUUCCUCUAAUGUACGGCACGGCAUGCGCCAUGAGUAGCACUCUU